Non-coding RNA from Biomphalaria pfeifferi, 286 nucleotides. NCBI's taxonomy places the organism in Eukaryota, Metazoa, Mollusca, Gastropoda, Planorbidae. The record is from the annotation of a GenBank genome assembly.
CCCCCCACCCAAACCUAAAGUCUGCCUCUAUGUUCAUAUUCUUUGCAUCAUCAAAUUUAACCAUCAGCAUGAUAUGACUAUAUCAUUUCUUUAUGGAUUAUUUUUAUUAUUAUUAUAUCGAUAGUUGAAAAUUAUUCCACACAAAUUUGUGAGAUAACUCUUAUGGCUACUUCAUACUCAAGUGAAAUGGGUUUACAAAUAUUUUUACAGCUAAUUCAUACAAAUAUAAAACAUUUUUAAAAAAUAGUUUUGGUUUUGAGGUUCAGUGACUCCCCCCCCCCCCCCC